This 68-nucleotide transfer RNA is filed under the name Camelus bactrianus (Bactrian camel). It matches the Rfam family "tRNA". Rfam says of the family: Transfer RNA (tRNA) molecules are approximately 80 nucleotides in length. Their secondary structure includes four short double-helical elements and three loops (D, anti-codon, and T loops). RNAcentral also lists the same sequence under 2 other names. Lineage: Eukaryota; Metazoa; Chordata; Mammalia; Artiodactyla; Camelidae. The record is from Rfam by way of RNAcentral.
GGGGGUGUAGCUCAGAGGUAGAGUGCAUGCUUAGCAUGAGGUCCUCGGUUCAAUCCCCAGCACUUCCA